CUAGAGAUUAGUUUGAUCCUGGCUCAGGACGAACGCUGGCGGCGGGCUUAACACAUGCAAGUUGAAGGAGAAUCCUGGAUUUCGGUCUGGGAGGAGACUGGCGCACGGGUGAGUAACGCGUAGAUAAUCUGCCUAUAGCUGGGGGAUAACCCCGCGAAAGCGGGGCUAAUACCGCAUGAUGCAGCGGGGCCGCAUGGCCACAGUUGUUAAAGUUCAGGCGGCUAUAGAUGAGUCUGCGUGCUAUUAGUUAGUUGGUAGGGUAAAGGCCUACCAAGACGAUGAUAGCUAGGGGGUCUGAGAGGAUGAUCCCCCACACUGGGACUGAGACACGGCCCAGACUCCUACGGGAGGCAGCAGUGAGGAAUCUUGCGCAAUGGAGGAAACUCUGACGCAGCCACGCCGCGUGCCGGAAGACGGCCCUAUGGGUUGUAAACGGCUUUUGAUUGGGAAGAAAGGGUGGGUUUUGACCUAUUUUGACGGUACCGAUUGAAUAAGCACCGGCUAACUCCGUGCCAGCAGCCGCGGUAAUACGGAGGGUGCAAGCGUUGUCCGGAAUUAUUGGGUGUAAAGGGUGCGUAGGCUGGCUCUUAAGUCUGAGGUGAAAUCUUGCCGCUUAACGGUAAAAUGGCCUUGGAUACUGAGAGUCUUGAAUCUGACAGAGGUCGGUGGAAUUCGUAGUGUAGCGGUGAAAUGCAUAGAUAUUACGAAGAACACCAGUGGCGAAGGCGGCCGGCUGGGUCAGUAUUGACGC
This 751-nucleotide ribosomal RNA is filed under the name uncultured Bacteroidota bacterium. RNAcentral describes it as "bacterial SSU rRNA". It matches the Rfam family "Bacterial small subunit ribosomal RNA", at positions 1 to 746 of the family's 1533-position model. The record is from RNAcentral. Lineage: Bacteria; Pseudomonadati; Bacteroidota.